GAACUGGACAAAUACGAGGGCUCAAAGGCAGAACUUGUUCUGAACGUGAUAAGCCUGCAUGAUGAUAUGUGGAGUCUGAGUUGUCAUUACACAUAUUCAAGAAACCCCAACGAGACCUUAGGAUCCAAUUGCGGACAUUCUCUUGAAACCAGCGGGGUAAAUCCCAGG
This is a non-coding RNA of Labrus bergylta (ballan wrasse), 168 nucleotides long. The record is from RefSeq and is a predicted model, not a curated record. NCBI's taxonomy places the organism in Eukaryota, Metazoa, Chordata, Actinopteri, Labriformes, Labridae.